Molecule: ribosomal RNA, 935 nt
Filed under: Staphylococcus aureus
Lineage: Bacteria; Bacillati; Bacillota; Bacilli; Caryophanales; Staphylococcaceae
Description: bacterial SSU rRNA
Rfam family: Bacterial small subunit ribosomal RNA
Source: RNAcentral
AGAGUUUGAUCCUGGCUCAGGAUGAACGCUGGCGGCGUGCCUAAUACAUGCAAGUCGAGCGAACGGACGAGAAGCUUGCUUCUCUGAUGUUAGCGGCGGACGGGUGAGUAACACGUGGAUAACCUACCUAUAAGACUGGGAUAACUUCGGGAAACCGGAGCUAAUACCGGAUAAUAUUUUGAACCGCAUGGUUCAAAAGUGAAAGACGGUCUUGCUGUCACUUAUAGAUGGAUCCGCGCUGCAUUAGCUAGUUGGUAAGGUAACGGCUUACCAAGGCAACGAUGCAUAGCCGACCUGAGAGGGUGAUCGGCCACACUGGAACUGAGACACGGUCCAGACUCCUACGGGAGGCAGCAGUAGGGAAUCUUCCGCAAUGGGCGAAAGCCUGACGGAGCAACGCCGCGUGAGUGAUGAAGGUCUUCGGAUCGUAAAACUCUGUUAUUAGGGAAGAACAUAUGUGUAAGUAACUGUGCACAUCUUGACGGUACCUAAUCAGAAAGCCACGGCUAACUACGUGCCAGCAGCCGCGGUAAUACGUAGGUGGCAAGCGUUAUCCGGAAUUAUUGGGCGUAAAGCGCGCGUAGGCGGUUUUUUAAGUCUGAUGUGAAAGCCCACGGCUCAACCGUGGAGGGUCAUUGGAAACUGGAAAACUUGAGUGCAGAAGAGGAAAGUGGAAUUCCAUGUGUAGCGGUGAAAUGCGCAGAGAUAUGGAGGAACACCAGUGGCGAAGGCGACUUUCUGGUCUGUAACUGACGCUGAUGUGCGAAAGCGUGGGGAUCAAACAGGAUUAGAUACCCUGGUAGUCCACGCCGUAAACGAUGAGUGCUAAGUGUUAGGGGGGUUUCCGCCCCUUAGUGCUGCAGCUAACGCAUUAAGCACUCCGCCUGGGGAGUACGACCGCAAGGUUGAAACUCAAAGGAAUUGACGGGGACCCG